GCGGAAAUAGCUCAGUUGAUAGAGCACUAGCCUUCCAAGCUGGGGGUCGCGGGUUUUAUCCCGGUUUUCCGCUCCA
Molecule: transfer RNA, 76 nt
Filed under: Bacteroidaceae bacterium
Lineage: Bacteria; Pseudomonadati; Bacteroidota; Bacteroidia; Bacteroidales; Bacteroidaceae
Description: tRNA-Gly
Rfam family: tRNA
About the family: Transfer RNA (tRNA) molecules are approximately 80 nucleotides in length.
Source: RNAcentral